AACGAACGCUGGCGGCAGGCCUAACACAUGCAAGUCGAGCGAGGACUUCGGUUCUAGCGGCGGACGGGUGAGUAACGCGUGGGAAUGUGCCCUUCUCUACGGAAUAGCUCUGGGAAACUGGGAGUAAUACCGUAUACGCCCUAUUGGGGAAAGAUUUAUCGGAGAAGGAUCAGCCCGCGUUGGAUUAGGUAGUUGGUGGGGUAAUGGCCUACCAAGCCGACGAUGCAUAGCUGGUUUGAGAGGAUGAUCAGCCACACUGGGACUGAGACACGGCCCAGAAUCCUACGGGAGGCAGGAGUGGGGAAUCUUAGACAAUGGGGGCAACCCUGAUCGAGCCAUGCCGGGUGAGUGAUGAAGGCCUUAGGGUUGUAAUGCUCUUUCAGCUGGGAAGAUAAUGACGGUACCAGCAGAAGAAGCCCCGGCUAACUCCGUG
RNAcentral lists this ribosomal RNA (433 nucleotides) under uncultured bacterium. RNAcentral's name for it is "partial 16S ribosomal RNA". It matches the Rfam family "Bacterial small subunit ribosomal RNA", at positions 29 to 507 of the family's 1533-position model. The record is from RNAcentral.